RNAcentral lists this ribosomal RNA (458 nucleotides) under uncultured Sphingomonas sp. RNAcentral's name for it is "bacterial SSU rRNA". It matches the Rfam family "Bacterial small subunit ribosomal RNA", at positions 22 to 524 of the family's 1533-position model. The record is from RNAcentral. Lineage: Bacteria; Pseudomonadati; Pseudomonadota; Alphaproteobacteria; Sphingomonadales; Sphingomonadaceae.
GCUCAGAACGAACGCUGGCGGCAUGCCUAAGACAUGCAAGUCGAACGAGACCUUCGGGGUUUAGUGGCGCACGGGUGCGUAACGCGUGGGAAUCUGCCCUUUGGUUCGGAAUAACACUUGGAAAUUUGUGCUAAUACCGGAUGAUGACGAAAGUCCAAAGAUUUAUCGCCUUUGGAGGAGCCCGCGUAGGAUUAGCUAGUUGGUGGGGUAAAGGCCUACCAAGCCGACGAUCCUUAGCUGGUCUGAAAGGAUGAUCAGCCACACUGGGACUGAGACACGGCCCAGACUCCUACGGGAGGCAGCAGUGGGGAAUAUUGGACAAUGGGCGAAAGCCCGAUCCAGCAAUGCCGCGUGAGUGUAGAAGGCCUUUGGGUUGUAAAUGCUCUUUUACCGGGGAAGAUAAUGACUGUACCGGGAGAAUAAGCCCCGCCUAACUCCGUGCCAGCAGCCGCGGUAAU